CAUUGUGAAGCACCUCCCUCCCCGAUAAUGGAGUCCAACACCACUCAUGCUUCCAUAUUCAAAUUAAAAAGCGGUAGAAACGAGAGGCUGGUUAACGGAGAAGAGAAGGACGAUCAAACCCUAAAUUCUCUACCGCCAUUUUUGCUGCCGUUCUUGCUGCCGUUUUCGCCGCCGGCACCAUUACCACUGCCGUGUUCGUUGCAGGAGAGAGCUUCCGGAUCGAGUCACCUAUCUUAUCAAUGCGUUUUCAAAUCUGUUUCUCUAUACUGUUGUUGCUGUCAUUGUUGUCACCGCAGUUUCCGCCGCGGUUGCCGUCACAGUUUUUAUCGCCGAUGCCAACGUAGUUGCCGUGGCACAACGCAUUUUCAGAUCUAUUCACUCCCGAGCUUCUUCUUCAACGCUGCUCUCUCUCACUCCAAUUUCUCCUUUGGACUGCCGCUGAUGAAGACAUUAGAAAGGAAUUUCUUAGUUCAUGGAAAACCAUGUCAAUGGUAGAUGAUGAUGCAAUGGAUUUUGGCUUUGACUCUAUUCCUAAAGGGAAGAAAAAGACAUUUGACUUUGAGAAACUGUGAGUCUUCUUGAAUUUUAGAGUUUGAUUUUGGCAAAGUGAAAUAUGAAGUCAAAGGAUGUUGUUAUUGGUUUCAUUCUGAAACAUCCUUCAUUUUAAAUGUUCCAGUUGACUGAUAAGAUGUUUGUAUUUAACACUUAUACUAGAGAAGGGUUAUAUGAUACAUUAAAUUUUUUAUUUCACUAAAGGCAGGAUAUACAUAUAUGCAAAUGUGAAUUAGUAGCACCUAUUUAUUUCUAAGAAACACUCUCUUGCUGUCGGGACAUGAAUUUUAAUUUGGACGGUGAGUUCAAAAACAUAUCAUCAUUUAAGAUGGACAUGUCUGACCUUGAUUUUGCAUGCACACCCAAAAAGUCUUUCCAGUCUAAGGACAAAAAAGGAGAAUCUUCUGGUGGUGGAAAAGCAGGAAAAGAAGAUGCAUUUAAUUUCAGCUUUGAUUUUAAUGAGAUAACAGUUGGAACUUGGAAUGUUGCUGGAAGACUUCAUCUAAGGAUCUUGAUAUUGAAGACUGGCUUUGUACUGAAGAACCAGCAGAUAUCUACAUCAUUGGGUGUCUGUUCUAUCAAUUUGCCUGAUAAUUUUGUUAUUUACUUUCUACUUUCUGUGUUUUUCUCCCCAAACUGUUUGCCUUUUCACAUUAAUGACAUUUGUACCUUUUUAUAUUUUUUUCCCCUUUUAUUAAUGACAUAUGUUAGGAUCACUCAAGAAGCUUUUGGGAGAAUCUUAUAUACCGUGAUCUAAUCUGAUUGUUCACAUAGCUCUGUGUUACAAGUUUAUUACAUAGUUUCAUUUAGUUUUUUUAUGUUAUAGUUCAUAGAGUUUUGUUGUUGAACUGUAUUAAUUGAUUUCAAUGAUAUUUAUCACCUAUUUAUUCAAUUAGUAUAUCUUAUUUGCAAAGUAUCUUUAUCUGCUAAAUCUUUUCACUGAUUAGCACACACAGAUUUAAUCAAGCAAAACUUCACCCUGGAAUCCUGUAAAUUUGUUCUUCACUGGAUGCUGAGUUUUUCAUUCCUAUGGUUCAUAAGAAUGGAUUUAGUGAAGAAAAAAUAUAUGCUUAGCAUGCAUUUACCAAAUAUCUAUCUGUAUCCUUAUGCUAAACUAAGCCUACUUCAUACACUUACACUAUGAGUUUCCAUUUUAAAAUUGGUCUUCUAAUUGGUCUUCAUAAGAAACUAAGCCUACCAAAUGUUAUUGUUGGCACCAGCUUUAAUGAAGUGACACAAAAUUUUAAUUGCCUAUACUAUUCAACUUCUAUGUGAAUGAUUUAGAGGUAAUUCAAUAUGGACCAUAUUCACUUAAUUAAUUCAUCUCCAAAAUAUUAUAGAAAAAAAAAUAAAUGUUAGUGGUUCUUCAAUUAUCUCCACAUCAUUCCAAGUCCAAAGAAGCCUUUACACAUCCUUCAGAAUGUUAGUGGAAUCAUAAAGCCCAAAAGGUGAAUGAUUAUUUUAUUAUUAUUUUCUUUUGUUUUCUUUCUCUAUUUUUAAUUUAUUUUGUUAUUGCUAAAAAAUACACCCACGAGAACCAUAUAAAAUUUUAUUUAUUUAUUUUUUAUUUUGUUGCUGGUAUAAUGAUGAGGUUUGUUUUGUAGAAUGACUCUGUUGUUAGGAUCCCCAGUCUCAGGGAAGACCACAUUGCUAUUAGCCUUGAUUGACAUUUUGCUGGAAAAUUUGGCAAAGAUUUAAAAAAAUCAGGAGAGUAACGUACAAUGGGAAUGGGGUAGAAGAGUUUGUGGCACAGAGAAGUUCAGCGUAUAUUCGGCAACAUGGUUAAUUAGAUGAAUUAGUUUAGUACUUGAGUUUGUGGCCAAAGGUAACAUUUUAAGCUUUUUAUUUAUUAUGUGCUUGACAUUUUAUCAAAGGCUAAUGAUGUUAUUAAUUAAAAGUAUUUAUUUAUUGGAACAGAUUUCAUAUGGAAAGACAGCCACUAAUAAUAAUAGCAGAGGCAGAGGCAGAGCUUGUGACACAGACCUCUGUAUACCAAUGGUCAAUUGAAGCAAAUUUGUGGUAUUGAUGAGUAGUUUGUAUUCAAGGUUGGGAUGAUCUUUAACACCCUUGAAGAUGCUGCAAAAUUCUACAAGGAUUAUACGAAGGCUGCAGGUUUUUCUACAAGAGUUCGGAGCACAAAUAAAAAGGGAAACGAAAUUAAGAAUGAAUUGAUUACAUGUAGCAUAGAGGAAAAAUGGAAAUUGAAAAUAUCUUCGACCGAGAAGACAAAUUCCUCAGCUGGAUUUGAAGUAGGGAAAUCAAAAUUUUUUUAUUGUUUUGAAUCCAAUCAACUGGUUGAGGUGUGGUUCAAUUUAGAAGAAAAAAUAUAGCAUUAGAGGAAAUAUUUUUCUAUAUUUGUAGCAAAUUUGGGUGUAUUUGUAAGAAU
Arachis stenosperma is the source of this 2938-nucleotide long non-coding RNA. RefSeq lists it as uncharacterized. The record is from RefSeq and is a predicted model, not a curated record. Lineage: Eukaryota; Viridiplantae; Streptophyta; Magnoliopsida; Fabales; Fabaceae. The transcript has 5 exons.